CGUGUAGGCGGCUCGAUAAGUCUGCUGUGAAAGUCCAGGGCUCAACCCUGGAAGGCCGGUGGAAACUGUCGGGCUAGAGUCCGGAAGAGGCGAGUGGAAUUCCCGGUGUAGCGGUGAAAUGCGCAGAUAUCGGGAGGAACACCAAUGGCGAAGGCAGCUCGCUGGGACGGUACUGACGCUGAGACGCGAAAGCGUGGGGAGCAAACAGGAUUAGAUACCCUGGUAGUCCACGCCGUAAACGAUGGGCACUAGGUGUGGGAGGUGUCGACUCCUCCCGUGCCGGCGCUAACGCAUUAAGUGCCCCGCCUGGGGAGUACGGCCGCAAGGCUAAA
Molecule: ribosomal RNA, 332 nt
Filed under: uncultured bacterium
Lineage: Bacteria
Description: bacterial SSU rRNA
Rfam family: Bacterial small subunit ribosomal RNA
Source: RNAcentral